This 81-nucleotide small RNA is filed under the name Olleya aquimaris. RNAcentral's name for it is "Olleya sp. L-4 Flavo-1 RNA". It matches the Rfam family "Flavo-1 RNA". Lineage: Bacteria; Pseudomonadati; Bacteroidota; Flavobacteriia; Flavobacteriales; Flavobacteriaceae. The record is from Rfam by way of RNAcentral.
UUUGCGUUAGGGAUAGUAGCGGUUAGCUUUUGGCGAGCGUAUGCUUCGAGCCAAAACUAGUAGCGAAUAGCCCGACCCUUG